Molecule: ribosomal RNA, 253 nt
Filed under: uncultured bacterium
Lineage: Bacteria
Description: partial 16S ribosomal RNA
Rfam family: Bacterial small subunit ribosomal RNA
Source: RNAcentral
UACGUAGGGGGCUAGCGUUGUCCGGAAUCAUUGGGCGUAAAGAGCGUGUAGGCGGCCCGGUAAGUCCGUUGUGAAAACUGGAGGCUCAACCUCCAGCUGUCGACGGAAACCGUAUGGCUAGAGUCCGGAAGAGGAGAGUGGAAUUCCUGGUGUAGCGGUGAAAUGCGCAGAUAUCAGGAAGAACACCAAUGGCGAAGGCAGCUCUCUGGGACGGUACUGACGCUGAGACGCGAAAGCGUGGGGAGCGAACAGG